CAGUCGCCGCGGUAAUACGUAGGGUGCAAGCGUUAAUCGGAAUUACUGGGCGUAAAGCGUGCGCAGGCGGCGAUGCAAGACAGAUGUGAAAUCCCCGGGCUCAACCUGGGAACUGCAUUUGUGACUGCAUUGCUGGAGUACGGCAGAGGGGGAUGGAAUUCCGCGUGUAGCAGUGAAAUGCGUAGAUAUGCGGAGGAACACCGAUGGCGAAGGCAAUCCCCUGGGCCUGUACUGACGCUCAUGCACGAAAGCGUGGGGAGCAAACAGGAUUAGAUACCCCCGUAGUCCCUGUCUCUUAUAC
RNAcentral lists this ribosomal RNA (301 nucleotides) under uncultured bacterium. RNAcentral describes it as "partial 16S ribosomal RNA". It matches the Rfam family "Bacterial small subunit ribosomal RNA", at positions 509 to 807 of the family's 1533-position model. The record is from RNAcentral.